UACGAAGGGGGCUAGCGUUGCUCGGAAUUACUGGGCGUAAAGCGCACGUAGGCGGCUUUCUAAGUCGGGGUGAAAUCCUGGAGCUCAACUCCAGAACUGCCUUCGAUACUGGAGAGCUUGAGUCCGGGAGAGGUGAGUGGAACUGCGAGUGUAGAGGUGAAAUUCGUAGAUAUUCGCAAGAACACCAGUGGCGAAGGCGGCUCACUGGCCCGGUACUGACGCUGAGGUGCGAAAGCGUGGGGAGCAAACAGG
This 252-nucleotide ribosomal RNA is filed under the name uncultured bacterium. RNAcentral's name for it is "partial 16S ribosomal RNA". It matches the Rfam family "Bacterial small subunit ribosomal RNA", at positions 524 to 776 of the family's 1533-position model. The record is from RNAcentral.